GCGACAAGAUGGCGGCGGCGGCUGCAGCGGCGGCGGGCGGCGCGGGGGGGCCCCCCCCGGCCCCGCGCCUGCCCCCGGCCCCGCCGCCCCCCCGGCCCCCCGGGCCCGCCCGCAUCGGCUACUACGAGGUGGAGCGGACCAUCGGCAAGGGCAACUUCGCCGUCGUCAAGCUGGCCACGCACCUGGUGACCCGCACCAAGGUGGCUAUAAAGAUAAUUGAUAAGACACAGCUGGAUGAGGAGAACCUGAAGAAGAUAUUUAGAGAAGUUCAGAUCAUGAAGAUGCUUUGCCACCCACACAUCAUCAGGUUAUACCAGGUUAUGGAGACAGAGAGGAUGAUUUAUCUAGUGACAGAGUAUGCUAGUGGAGGGGAAAUAUUUGAUCACUUGGUGGCCCACGGGCGCAUGGCUGAGAAGGAAGCCCGGAAGAAGUUCAAGCAGAUAGUGGCUGCUGUCAACUUCUGCCACUGUCGGAAUAUCGUCCACAGAGACCUGAAAGCAGAAAAUCUCCUUCUGGAUGCAAACCUUAACAUCAAAAUAGCAGAUUUUGGGUUCAGUAACAUCUUCACACCCGGGCAGCUGCUUAAAACCUGGUGUGGGAGUCCUCCCUAUGCUGCUCCAGAGCUUUUUGAAGGAAAGGAGUACGAUGGGCCAAAGGUUGACAUUUGGAGCCUCGGGGUGGUGCUGUACGUGCUGGUGUGUGGUGCCCUGCCCUUCGACGGGAGCACGCUGCAGAACCUGCGGGCACGGGUGCUCAGCGGGAAGUUCCGCAUCCCCUUCUUCAUGUCCACAGAGUGUGAGCACCUGAUCCGCCACAUGCUGGUGUUGGACCCGAGCAAGCGGCUCUCCAUGGAGCAGAUCUGCAAGCACAAGUGGAUGAAGCUGGGAGAGGCUGACCCAGAGUUUGACAGGCUGAUUGCCGAGUGCCAGCACCUGAAGACGGAGCGGCAGCUGGAGCCCCUCAACGAGGAGGUGCUGCUGGCCAUGGCAGACAUGGGGCUGGACAAGGAGCGCACAGUCCAGUCUCUAAGAGCUGAUGCUUAUGAUCACUACAGUGCAAUCUACAGCCUGCUCUGCGACCGCCUCAAGAGGCACAAGAACCUGCGCAUUGCAUCGUCCCCAAGCGUCCCACGGACCAUGACCUUCCCCACCUCCACCAACAUCCAGCAGACAGAGCAGACAGGCAAUACCAUGAACAUCAAUGUGCCACAAGUCCAGCUCAUCAACCCUGAAAACCAAAUUGUGGAGACUGAUGGAACAAUGAACCUGGACAGUGAUGAAGGGGAAGAGCCAUCUCCUGAAGCUCUGGUCCGUUACCUCUCCAUGAGAAGGCACACAGUUGGAGUAGCUGACCCACGGACGGAAGUGAUGGAAGACAUGCAGAAGCUCCUGCCUGGCUUACCCCGAGUCACUCCUCAGGCUCCGUUCCUGCAGGUGACCCCGAAUGUGAACUUCAUGCACAACAUGCUGCCCAGGCAGAACCUGCAGCCCAUGGGGCAGCUGGAGUACAAGGAGCAGUCCCUGCUGCAGCCCCCCACCCUGCAGCUGCUCAAUGGGAUGGGCCCCCUGGGGCGCCGGGCGUCAGACGGUGGAGCCAACAUCCAGUUAAAUGCACAGCAGCUGCUGAAACGUCCUCGAGGUCCCUCUCCUCUCGUCACCAUGACACCAGCUGUCCCAGCUGUCACCCCAGUGGAUGAGGAGAGCUCUGAUGGGGAGCCAGACCAGGAAGCUGUGCAGAGAUACUUGGCAAAUAGGUCAAAAAGGCACACUCUGGCAAUGACCAACCCUACAGCUGAAAUCCCUCCAGACUUGCAGAGGCAGCUAGGACAGCAGUCCUUCCGACCCCGGGCCUGGGCUCCACACCUGGUCCCCGAUCAGCACCGUUCUAUUUACAAGGACUCAAAUACUCUGCACCUCCCCACCGAGCGCUUCUCCCCGGUUCGGCGCUUCUCUGAUGGCGCUGCCAGCAUCCAGGCUUUCAAAGCCCACCUGGAGAAGAUGGGCAAUAACAGUAGCAUCAAACAGCUCCAACAGGAGUGUGAGCAGCUCCAGAAGAUGUACGGUGGGCACAUGGACGAGAGGACACUGGAGAAGACACAGCAGCAGCACAUGUUGUACCAGCAGGAGCAGCACCACCAGAUUCUUCAUCAGCAGAUUCAGGACUGUAUCCGGCCACCCCAGCCAUCUCCACCCUUGCAAGCUCCAUGUGAAAACCAGCCAGCUCUCCUCACUCACCAGCUUCAGAGGUUACGGAUUCAGCCAUCCAGCCCACCCCCAAACCACCCCAACAACCAUCUCUUCAGGCAGCCCAACAGCAGCCCCCCUCCUGUGAGCAGCAGUGUGCUCCAGCCCCAUGGUGCUGCCUCCCAGUCCCAGUUCCAAGGGAUGCCAUCCCACAACACAAUCUUCCCGCAGUCUGGUAACUGUUCCCCUCCCCCAGCCAUGGGGCUGACGUGCCUGGGCCUGCAGCAGCAGUCGCAGCCUCAGCAGGUCACUAUCCAAGUGCAGGAGCCCGGCGACAUGGUCAGCAGCAACCUCCUGCAAGGGCCCUCUGUGGCCGGGCAGGGCAUGUCCUCCCACACACGGGGCAUGUCCAUCAGCCCCAGCCCCAACCAGCUCCAGAUGCAGCACCGUGCUAACCUGAUGGCCUCGCUCACCUACGGCCACCGGCAGCUCUCCAAGCAGCUCAGCGCCGACAGCGCUGAGUCGCACAGUCUGAACAUGAACAGGUAUCCCCCCACCAACUACGACCAGGUGCACUUACACCCCCACCUGUUCCCGGAGCAGCCUCGCGUUUCCCCCAGCAACUACAGCCCUUCGGGAGGAGUCGGGUUUCCUCCAGCUCAGCAAGCUCUGAAGGUCCCGCAGCUUGACCAGUAUCCCAGUUUCCCUCAAAAUGCACAUCAGCAACAGCAGCACUACACUGCAUCGGCACUACAGCAAGCACUGUUGUCCCCGACGCCUCCCGACUACAGCCGACACCAGCAGGUACCGCACAUCCUCCAGGGACUGCUUUCCCCCCGGCACUCGCUGACGGGGCACACGGACAUGCGGCUGCCCCCGACUGAAUUUGCACAGGUCAUCAAACGGCGGCAGCAGCAGCAAGACUUGCAAGAGUUGUUCAGGCAUAUGAGUCAAGGGGAUGCUGGCAACAUGGGCACCAGCGUGGGACAGAACCUCUCGGAGCGCCAGUCGCUGUCUUUGCCUUAUCAGAGUGCCGACACCUACCACCCCCAGAGCAGCCCCCAGCACCUCCUAAAAAUCAGGGCGCAAGAAUGUAUCCAGCAGGUACCCGCCUCGGUGCCGCCCCACGGAUACAUACACCAGCCAGCCCUGUUCCAUUCGGAGAGCAUGGAGGAGGACUGUGCCUGCGAGGCUGCCAGGGACAGCUUUCCAGACAGUAAGAGUUCAAACACGUUGACCAAAGGUUGCCACGAGAGCCCCCUGCUUGUAAACGCAGGAGGGCACGGGGACCCGGAUUCUGCGCUAGGAACUGCUAAUCACGCCCAGGAGCUGGGGACACAUCCAUACAGGCAUCAGCCCACUGCUGGAUUCAGUAGGAAUAAGGUGCCCAGCAGAGGUAAGGCUUCCUGCUGCGUGUAUAGGUGACAGGUUUUUUCCAUGCUGGCCACUUGCCUGCCUGCCCCAGGGCACCCUCUACCCAGCAUGACCAGGGUUUCGUGACAUGCCUUGUAUAGCACAGAGUUACCCAAGUUGUUCUUGGCUUUUGUGGCCUUCAGUAAAUUGCAGGCACAGUCUAAUAAUAAACAAUGUUAAAUAAGGAGGGAACCUGACUGGCUGCUUCUCUUUGGAGUUUGACCUACAUCUGCAGGCAGGUAAAGACCAGGUCCCAGAGCACCACCAUCUUCUCAGGGAUGCUGUGUGCUGCUGACAUACCUGUUCUUGUUGGAGAUAUUCUCUAUCCUGUGUGAAGAAGGAGCUGAGGACAGUGGAGUUGCUAGUGUACUCCAACUGCAGCGGGGUGUUCCUUCCCUUAAGAACAGACCCUUGAGUCCUGGCAUUGCUAAAGCUUUCAUAAACAUGGCAAUAAGAGCAGUGGGAAAUGUCUUGCCUCUGGUGCUUUGGGAAGCAGCAGCAAGAUUCUGGCCCUGCUGGAACUGGAAGGGGUUGUUUCUGGAGAAAGGGAGCUUAAACUUGCCCGUAGCCUCUGAAGACCUUUCCUGCUAGCUGGAUUCAGUUGUUCCUUUGCUCCUUGGUGGCUGUGUUGGCAGUGGUGUGCUGUAAGAGAAAUUCCUGCCUGAGCUGUAGUUGCAGGCCUUCUCUGCAUGAAAAACACUGUCCUAGCUCUGUGCUGAGGCCUUUGAAGAGAGGCUGAGCUGGGUGGAUCAGUAUUCCCUGCAGGACCAAGCUGUGCUGGUCUGAAGCCACCAGCUUGCCCUUGGCAUAGAGGCCCCUAUUGCAGAGGAGCAGUGUCCAGGACACAGGAGGCACAGCUUUGUUUGGGGACACAGCACGGGUUUGUUGGGAAAGUUCUGGGUUGGAACAGGCUGGCUGGGAGGGCAGAGCAGGCAUGCCAGGCCCUGGCUGCCCAGAGCAGGGGUAGGGGUAGGGACAAGGCUCAACUUUCCUGAAGUUUUCUUGAAUUUUUGGGUAACUGAUGUUUGCUUCUGGACCUCAGUUUCCCUGCAGUGCUUGAAACUGCCCCAAGUUAAGUUGAGGUUGGGAUGCUCCUGAGGGGCAUUUUGUACCAAGUCAUGAGUUAGUGUUGUCGUACCACAGACCGUUAGAUGAACAACAAGAUUUCAGGAAGGCAGAAGCCAAGUUUCUGCCCCCCCUGCUGAUGGUGCUAGAGCCAGUUACACAAGGGGAAAGGACUUUAGACUAGAAGACUUUUUAAAUGAGCAGAAGCAGGUAAAUGUUUACAAAUAGCAUUGUGUAAGCCCUUCUGACAGGCUGUUUGGAGGGCUGGUUGUAGUGAGCUGUGUCCUGAGAUGCAACUGCUAGCACUGCUUUCCUCCUGACUCCAAUAACCCACUUGGAAUCAGGCCUGUACCACUUCCCUGCAUCUAAAUCUUCCCAAAACUCAGUGCACAUCCCACUAGAAUCCUAGUAUUUUGCUCCCUCACAUGUAGCACAGCUCCAGUGUUCCCAAGCACGCUGUGCACAGGCCCACAGGGUUCCUCAGCCACAUCCCUGGGCUUUCCCAAGGUUUUCCCUAAGCUGUGUGACAAGGUCACAGCUUGUCUUGAGAUGGGAAUAUCUUCUGCCCCAGCUCAUGAGUGUUUUCCCUCAAGCAGGGCAUAACUUGGUAGUGGCUUGGGAGCAUUCAUGCCUUCCAAGGGAGUGGAUUCAUUCUGGUUUGUCUGGUGAGCGUCUGCUGGUGAUGGCAGCUGGAGAGUGUGAGAGCAUCAGUCAGAUCCAUGGCUGAACCACCUUUUAAUGGCAGUGCUCCGGUUUUGCUCCAGCCUGGCCAUCCCAGGGCUGGGAAUGCUGCCCAUGGGAAACCUGCACUGAAGGAGCCGAGCUGGCGAUGGUGGCCCUGCCGCUGUGCCAGUGUCACAUGCCACCCUGCCACAAAGGCCACCUGGCACAGCAGCUCCAUCCCCUAUGGAUGUGGGGAUGAAAGGUUUUCUGCUGCUGGGGCAGGGAUGGGGUGAGGAAAGGAGCAGGAAUUCAGGCUGAGCUGCAGCCCCAGAGGUGCCGUGGUGGCAGUGGGAAGUGUGGGGUUGGGUUUUGGGUCAGGGCUAUUGCAGGUCAGGGGGAAUCGUCCCCCCGUGCCUUGGUCACCCGCAGUGGGGGCUCACUGCGGGAGCCCCGGGGCUGUUUGUGGAGCUGGAGAAGCAGGCUGCUGGUCCCAGCAACCAUUCCCACAGUUGGAGCAGUGUCCUGAGCGGUGCGUGGGUGGCACAGCUCCGCCAACAUCUGUUACCUCAUGUUUUCCUUCUCGCUUUUCCGGGAAGGUCUUUAACCGCGUGUAACCCCACGGUUGUGCAAAGGAAGGGGGAGGCUGGCUGCAACUCCAGCUGCCCUGGGAGGGGGUUCCUGCAGGGCUGCCCUGUCUUGGAGGGAGGGAGGGCAAGUGGAGCAGGUCCUGGCAUGCCUGGGAGGAGUGGCAUGGAGAGCUUGGGUGGCAGAAUGUGCCCAGGAUGGGUUUGGAUCCAGGUGACUUCACGGACAGGUCUUUGGGGAGCAUCUUCCCAGCAUCUCGCGGCUGCAGUCCCAGCCAGGAGGUGUGGUGUCCAGCACAGCAGGAGAUGGCUCCCCAGUGGCCAACCCCCUCCCCCACCCCACCCCGAGCUGAUAGCUCUGGCCAGGGGAUCUACCUGCAGCUGUGUCACCUCAGGGCAGCUCCCCAGUGCUUGUAGCCACAUCCACAUGUUUGUGCUCCACCGGGCUGCUUGCUGGGAGUGAGCUGUUUACGUGCACCAGGCCCAGGGAUAGGUUCCCCCAUGCCUUGGGACUUUAUCCAAAACAUCUUGUACUUGAUGACAAGAGCUUUUGCUUGAUAGGAAUGUAGCCUUUACCCUCGGUCAUAAGAGCUUGCGGUGCAGAUGGACUUUGCCAGGCAGAACACUCAUGCACUCCUACAGCCAGAUUGUAGGGGGGCAGGGAGAAGUCAUCUGAUAAAAGCGAAGAUCCCAGCCAACUCUUCCAGUGAGAUUAUGUUGGUUGCAAUUGCCAAGGGGCCCUGCUAGAACAUCCCGUGUUGGAGACUGGGGUGAAGCUUCUCCCUCUGCUCUUGUAGUCCAUCGUAGGGAACUGUAUGGACAGAAGUUCCCCCAGCCAAGCGAUGCAGGUGCCUGACCACAACGGACUGGGC
Molecule: RNA transcript, 6780 nt
Organism: Apus apus (common swift)
Lineage: Eukaryota; Metazoa; Chordata; Aves; Apodiformes; Apodidae
Gene: SIK3
Gene name: SIK family kinase 3
Exons: 22
Source: RefSeq, a predicted model, not a curated record